AGAGUUUGAUCAUGGCUCAGAACGAACGCUGCGGCGUGGAUAAGACAUGCAAGUCGAACGGAUUAUUCAGGGUAGCAAUACUCUGGGUAGUUAGUGGCGCAAGGGUGCGUAACACGUGGGCAACCUGCCCUGAAGUGGGGGAUAGCUCGUCGAAAGGCGAAUUAAUACCGCAUGUGGCUACUGGAGGAAUCUCUGGGACGCCAAAGCCGGGGUUAAACCUGGCGCUUCUGGAUGGGCCCGCGGCCUAUCAGCUAGUUGGUGAGGUAACGGCUCACCAAGGCGAUGACGGGUAGCUGGUCUGAGAGGACGACCAGCCACACUGGAACUGAGACACGGUCCAGACACCUACGGGUGGCAGCAGUCGAGAAUUUUUCUCAAUGGGGGAAACCCUGAAGGAGCGACGCCGCGUGGAGGAUGAAGGUCUUCGGAUUGUAAACUCCUGUCAUUGGUGAACAAAGCUGCCGGAGUAACUGCCGUGCAGACUGAUAGUAGCCGAAGAGGAAGAGACGGCUAACUCUGUGCCAGCAGCCGCGGUAAUACAGAGGUCUCAAGCGUUGUUCGGAUUCAUUGGGCGUAAAGGGUGCGUAGGCGGCGAGGCAAGUCUGGUGUGAAAUCCCGGGGCUCAACCCCGGAACUGCACUGGAUACUGCAUUGCUAGAGUACUGGAGAGGGAACUGGAAUUUACGGUGUAGCAGUGAAAUGCGUAGAUAUCGUAAGGAAGACCAGCGGCGAAGGCGAGUUCCUGGACAGUGACUGACGCUGAGGCACGAAGGCCAGGGGAGCAAACGGGAUUAGAUACCCUCGUAGUCC
RNAcentral lists this ribosomal RNA (810 nucleotides) under uncultured bacterium. RNAcentral's name for it is "bacterial SSU rRNA". It matches the Rfam family "Bacterial small subunit ribosomal RNA", at positions 8 to 796 of the family's 1533-position model. The record is from RNAcentral.